This is a long non-coding RNA of Nematolebias whitei (Rio pearlfish), 383 nucleotides long. RefSeq lists it as uncharacterized. The record is from RefSeq and is a predicted model, not a curated record. NCBI's taxonomy places the organism in Eukaryota, Metazoa, Chordata, Actinopteri, Cyprinodontiformes, Rivulidae. The transcript has 3 exons.
AGUUACUACAGCAAAGGACUCCGAAACAAGGCAGACAGACUGAAGAACAGGAAUGAUCAGCUUCAUCCCUUUAAGGAGGCCGCCCACGAAAUAGACGCGAAGGCCCAGUUGUUUAAUGAGAUCCGGCGGAGGAAGAAGGAAAGGAAGGAGAAGAAGCGCCAGAGGAAAGGAGACGACUGCAGCCUGCCGGGUCUCACUUGCUUCACCCACAACAACGACCACUGGCAGACCGCUCCCUUCUGGACACUGGGUGCAUUCUGCGCGUGCACCAGCUCCAACAACAACACCUACUGGUGCCUGAGAACCAUCAACGAGACCCACAACACGCUCUUCUGCGAGUUUUCCACCGGUUUCCUCGAGUACUUUGAUCUCAACAGUGACCC